UUCAUUCAUUACUCACAGCACUAUAUAUAGACAAAGUUUAGGCACUUCGGCCAUGCUACUCAGGCCACUACCCAGCCACGACGCUCGGCCACUAACCCACUAAGCCACAUGCACGGCCAAGUCCAGUCCGUUUGCAGCGCUCCCUCAACGGCCACACACCUGGUCAGCAGCUAGCAUGCAGCCUAAAAAUGCUCAAUCCACGGCCUACCGUGUAGCUAGUCCACUAACUAACUCACAGACACUACCAGAAACGCGACUAAGCGUGUGGGCCAACAGCCGUCAGGAAAAUAAAACUGGCCGUCAGGAAUAUAAUUCCUGUCGGCCAACCGACAGGAACAACCGACAGCCAUAGCCUGCCAGGAAUGAAACAAUAUGCCUGCCGGUCGGCCCACAGGAAUAUUAUUGCUGUCGGUUAUUCCUGACGGUUGGCUCACAUGAAAGAAAUGCUCUGUCAGAUUUAUGCCUCCCGGAAAAUACAUAUUCCUGUCAACCACCUAUCAGGAAAGGACGCCAGGAAAUUUGUACUAGGAGGCAUUCCUACCAACUUAUACCUGUAGGUUCAGCCGAUAGGAAUUUGUGCUAGGAAAGCUACAACGUUCGUGCAUUCCUGUCAGCCGUUGGCCGUCACUGUUGCAUCAUGAUGUUUUUUUUCAUAUUCCUGCCGGAAAAGCAAUGUGCUUAACCCAGAUGCUACAGAUGUUACAUUAUUUCACAGAGACCAUGUGAGAAUAGAUUUAUAUGACAACAUCAGACUUCAUAUAUCAUCAUUAUUUCCAUACAUAUAGAUCAACAAAGUACACUACAAGGCUACAAUGGUACCAUCCACAAAAGGACCUUCCAACUACAACAAUACUAGCAAAAUACGCCGGCUUGCAACUACCACCAGAUGUUAGUUCUCAUUCCUAAACCAUACUGGAUACACAAGUCCACAAAAGAGCGUAUGAAGACCACCUACAGUCUGAUGUUAUCAUGUUGUUUGAGCAAUCAGUUUCCGCCAUGGUUGGCUGCUGCGUCAACGAUCUGAUCACCGACAUUCCCAGUGGUGUCGUUCUCCUCGCUCGACUCCAUGACAUCAUUGUUGACAUCAACCGCUUGUGAGCCGGCUUGAGACGAGUUAUUUGUCCCCUGAAUCAAGCCCAAGUAACCAAAUUGUUAUUUAAUCUGAUUUAGAACAAUAAAAACACAAUACUUUGUUGGAUAAUAAGUGGAGACAACAGAACAAAAUAAUUUCCAUUUAUUGAUUAAUGCUUGGCACCAAGAAUGGAUUUUCUUUUCAUUUACAUGUCCAGGCUACUUUGAAGUUUCAAAUAUCUUGAUAUAAAACAUGAAAAAAAAAUUGGGCAUAACAGCUAAAGAAUCUUAUGAGAGUAGACAAGCUCACAGAUGCAAACAGCCAAAUAUCUUGAUAUAAAACAUGAAAAAAAAUCUCAUAUGCAACAUAAUGUUGAUAUUGCAGCUACAUCAGCGUAGACAGGUCAGAAGGAAUGCACAAAUUCAAGUUGAGUAGUGGACAUCACACAUUCAUCCAUAUGAUAUAGAUAACUUCAAGUUUCUCAUACACUUACUUGUGGUUGCGAAACAGCUCCAUGGCUUAGUAUAUGUAGUAUAUGCGCUGGCAACUCUUUUCCUAUCUCCUUGAAAAGUGCCUGCAAAAGGAAGAAAUGUUACUCGAGUUGAUAAUUGAGAAGUUGAGAUCCAUUGGUUUAGAAUUUGGGCGUUAAUUUGUACAUACAGUUAUGAGCUGUCCAUGCAUAUCUACUUUCUGCUGUAGCAUCUCCUUAGCACGCCUGAGUUCUGCAUUUUCUUCAUUAGCACGCCUUUGCAAUCUAUCUUUUAGAGGGAGGUACCGCAAAACUUUACGUGGGAUUUUCUUUUGGCCUUCCUCGUAACGAGAUGUGCCACAAAAAAGUCACACUUCUCUUCAUGUUUGUUAUCUUUGUAAUACAACAUGCAAUUAUUUUUGCACACAUCUAUUUUGACAUAUGGCAUCCCAAGACCUUCUAAGAGUUUCUUGGAUUGGUAGAAGUCUUCGGACAAAUUAGAUUCAGGAGGCAAAAGUUCAUGGAUUAUUUUUAAGGUAUCAUCAAAAUGUGCAAUGGACAUGUUGUAUUGUGAUUUCAUAGCCAACAAACGAGCUACAGCAGAAAGACGUGAGUGUUUUGUGUUCUCAUGUACCAAUUCAUCGGCACUACUGACCAUCCUAUAAAAAGCCUUGGCAGAGGAGGUUGGCUCCUCAGUAACCGGUGGAAGAUGGCUACCACCUAAGUCAACCAACAUAUUGUCCAUUCGAUCAGUUGCAUUACAGCCCUCUUGAUGUACUAAAGGGACAGAUCCAUCAGCAGCAGCUACAAAACUCUCACCAUGUUCUGUCCAGGUUUUGUAAUUUGGCUUAUACCCAUGUUUAUACAAGUGUUUCUACAAUGUGCCUUUCUUGCGGAAAAUAAUUCCGACAUUUGGCGCAUGGACACUUAAUUUUACCACCUUCAGCUACAGAAGAGAAGGCCCGGUCUAUAAAUCGUGCAGUUUCUUCAAGCCAUAUAUUAGAAGGGACUUGACCAAACACCCAUCCACUAUACAUCCAAUCACGGUUCUUCAUUAUUUAACCAAGAACUCAUACUGAAAUAAAAUUCACAGAAAUGGGGCUAUUUCAGAAAAAUAAUAGCAUACUAAAGGGCAGCAGCACAAAUAACAAUUCACAAAAAGACAAUUGUUUCAGACAUAAAUUUAAGAGCUCAAAGCUAUAACUUACCAAUAUACUUGUUCAAGCUGGGAAAUUACGGCGUCGAAAAGGGUGGCCAGCCAACUCCCCUAGCUGUUCACUGAUGUUUCUGGAAUAUGAAAAGAUAAGAUUAUUCUAGGAUUUAUAGAUCUUAAAUUCACUUUAAAUAAAUAAAUAAAUAGCAGGUAGGUGUCACGGAAGCUACAACCUAGAAAAAAUGAACAAUUAGAUGGUCAUGUACAUAAGCUACAUGCUAGUUGUUCACUGAUGUUGCUACAGAAGCUCCAACUUACGUCUAAGAACAACCAAAACUAAUCUGUCCAAAUCAACUUGCACACGAAAGAACUGUACAUGGUCAUGUACAACUAGUUUUGCGUUGGAACCCAUAAAAAUUGGUGUUUGAACUUAUCCAAAUCAACCGUAUACUAAUCAGAUGUGCCUAAAUUAGUUCCAACGAAGCUUGUACGCUACACAAGAAAUAGAGCAAACAAAUCGUAGAUCUAGGAAAAGAAGGUAAUAUAUUACCAGAGAUAUGGAGAAUGGGGACUUGUGAGGCAGCGAGUAGAGGAGUACAGGCAGCCGGAGGUGAAGACGUGUAAAUCUGAAUGGGGGGACAAGUACGGGAGCUUGGUGGGGGGCAGAUGCUGGUGCUCCGGCGGGUGGCGAGGCAGAGACCGGCACUACGCAAGUGGUGAGGAAGAUGCAGGCGGAAGGAAGGCCUUCCGCAGGGAGGGGAGGCAGCCGCGACGGUAGAUGGGAGGAUGGUGUAGCUGCUGCCACGGCGGUGGACCUGCGGAUGGUGUGGCGGCGGCGGCGGUGGACCGGAGGAUGGUGUGGCGGCGGUGGCGGUGGACCGGAGGGUGGUGUGGCGGCGGCGGCGGUGGACCGGAGGAUGGUGUGGCGGCGGCUCCGGCUGUGGACCGGACGAUGGUGGCGGCGGCGGUGAAGCGCAGGACUGGAUUGGGGAUCGAGAGGAUUCUGGAGACUACGACUGAAUUGGGGAUGGAGGCUGUAUGUGUUUGCCCUCUCCUUUUGUAUUGGGCCUAACUCUGUGAGCCCAAACACACAGGAAAAUAGACAAAAGGGUGGGCCUCUCCGAAAAAAUGUGCGCGCAAUAAAAACCCGAUGGCGCGAAGCGGCAGCCCGCGGGCGCGAAGGGCCGAAUGCGAUUCCUGUGGGCCGCGACGCACAGGGAUAUACUUUUCCUGUGCGCCUGCUCAGAACCUACAGGAAUAUGGUGAAAAAACCUGUCGGUCAGUGUCUGGCCCACAGUAAAAUGACAUUUUCCUGGGAGUCUACGCGGGGCCGACGGGAAUAUAUGUUGGCUCACAGGCUUAAUCACGAUUCUGGUAGUGAGAAUACUAGCUCUACCGAUCAGCUUUGCAUGGUGCACGUGAUCACAACUUAACGUGCACACCCUGCCGCAGCUUGUACUAAAUGCAUGACUCAACAAAAACAAAUAAUCUAAAACUAGCGCUAAUAACAAGAUUAGUUCUAACAUUCACCUCCCUAAUCUUGUUAACUUAUUUCUCUCUUGAAGCCAACCGUCGUCGAUGUCGUCGUUGCAACACGGAGAUGGCUGCCAAUGCGAUCUUGUCACGCCGAUUACCGCCGUCGCCGCUGGCCUCCACGAGAGGCGCACCUCCUAUGCCUUCGCCGCGAGUGCCGCCAUUGCUCGCUUGCUGCCACAUGUUCUUCACCGAUGCCGCAACUUGCCGGUGGCUCAGCUCGAUGUUGUCGUUGAUGACGCACCUUGUCGACGACCCGCACAUGUUCAUCACCGGUGCCGCAACUCGCCGGUGACCCACCUCCACGUUGCCGUCGAUGACGCACCUUGUCGACGACUCGGACGUGGAUGAUGACCUCCUCAUGGUAAUGGUCUCCACGCAUUGGCCAUCACCUCCUUGCCGCCGGUGCCACAACUUACCGGGCAACAUAUCUUUCUCCAUCGCUCGUGACGCAGCUCAACGAUGAUGGAGACACGCACCGGCCGCAAGCAGCAUCGCGCUGCCAACAGCGUCCACCUUGCGUCGCCGACCUCCACCUCACACGGAGUCCGCCGCGGCGCCACCACCGCCUUGGAUCGACAAGGCUCUGAUGCCAAUUGUUGGCGCCGCCUCCUCGCAGCGCCGCUCUUGUUCUUCUACCUUGGUGCUGCCUCUCACAGCUCCCUCUCUUUUUCUCUGGUUGUUUCUCUCAAACACAAAAGAACACCCACACACACGCACCAAGAAGGAGCACAAUGGCUUUGCUAGUGGCUCUCUCCUUGGUGAAACACAUAUACUACAUUGCUUUUGCCCCAGCCCACACGGCUUGCCUUCAUUCAUUACUCACAGCACUAUAUAUAGACAAAGUUUAGGCACUUCUGCCAUGCUACUCAGGCCACUACCCAGCCACGACGCUCGGCCACUAACCCACUAAGCCACAUGCACGGCCAAGUCCAGUCCGUUUGCAGCGCUCCCACAACGGCCACACACCUGGUCAGCAGCUAGCAUGCAGCCUAAAAAUGCUCAGUCCACGGCCUACCGUGUAGCUAGUCCACUAACUAACUCACAGAAUACUAGCUCUACCGAUCAGCUUUGCAUGGUGCACGUGAUCACAACUUAACAUGCACACCCUGCCGCAGCUUGUACUAAAUGCAUGACUC
This 5366-nucleotide long non-coding RNA is filed under the name Triticum aestivum (bread wheat). Its description in RNAcentral is "long non-coding RNA (TAES_LNC019960)". The record is from RNAcentral. Lineage: Eukaryota; Viridiplantae; Streptophyta; Magnoliopsida; Poales; Poaceae.